AUUGAACGCUGGCGGCAUGCUUUACACAUGCAAGUCGAACGGUAACAGGCCUUCGGGUGCUGACGAGUGGCGAACGGGUGAGUAAUGCAUCGGAACGUACCCAGAGGUGGGGGAUAACGCAGCGAAAGCUGUGCUAAUACCGCAUGUGAUCUGAGGAUGAAAGCGGGGGACCGAGCAGCAAUGUUUGGCCUCGCGCCUUUGGAGCGGCCGAUGUCGGAUUAGCUAGUUGGGGGGGUAAAGGCCUACCAAGGCGACGAUCCGUAGCUGGUCUGAGAGGACGACCAGCCACACUGGGACUGAGACACGGCCCAGACUCCUACGGGAGGCAGCAGUGGGGAAUUUUGGACAAUGGGCGCAAGCCUGAUCCAGCAAUGCCGCGUGCGGGAAGAAGGCCUUCGGGUUGUAAACCGCUUUUGGCAGGAACGAAACGGUGUCCGCUAAUACCGGGCGCUAAUGACGGUACCUGCAGAAUAAGCACCGGCUAACUACGUG
RNAcentral lists this ribosomal RNA (492 nucleotides) under uncultured bacterium. Its description in RNAcentral is "partial 16S ribosomal RNA". It matches the Rfam family "Bacterial small subunit ribosomal RNA", at positions 29 to 507 of the family's 1533-position model. The record is from RNAcentral.